AGGCUGAAGUCGUUCACAAAGCGACGCCGAAGCAGACAAGGAAGCGGAAGACACUCGCUAAUGACCUGACUAACGGCGGCGUGGAGCCAUGUGUGGAGAAGGGUCUGCAGCUGGACCUACUUGCAUGCGUGGACAGAUGCGUGGACCGUGUUGUGAAGCUUGAUCAUGAUAGAGCUGAAAGGAAAAACAUGCAGAGCAUGUAUCAGAACAUAUAUUGGGGAUGACAUGCAGUGAUACAGGCUUGGUUGUGUUAAUCAUUGCACAUUAAUCCAACAAAAUGAGACCGCUGUGACCUUCAGCCUGUGACGAGUAACCUGAAGUUGAGCAGCUGGUGAUGUGUGGAAAAACUGUGAACUCCUUCGCCCAUGCUCCUUCAUAUAAAGACACUCCCUGCCAGAGGAUGAUGGAAGUUGUGGAUGAGAAUGUUUCUCACCUUUUGUAUAACUGCAAUUGAAUUGUAUUGGUGUAACUGGAAGAUUCAGAAGCAUUGAAGAAUUUUCCAAAAACAAAGACUUUUACUUUAAAUUAAACACACGUUAAAAUAAAUAACUUGAUUGCA
Molecule: long non-coding RNA, 559 nt
Organism: Solea solea (common sole)
Lineage: Eukaryota; Metazoa; Chordata; Actinopteri; Pleuronectiformes; Soleidae
Exons: 5
Source: RefSeq, a predicted model, not a curated record